This is a transfer RNA of 72 nucleotides. It matches the Rfam family "tRNA". From Rfam's summary of the family: Transfer RNA (tRNA) molecules are approximately 80 nucleotides in length. Their secondary structure includes four short double-helical elements and three loops (D, anti-codon, and T loops). Further hydrogen bonds mediate the characteristic L-shaped molecular structure. tRNAs have two regions of fundamental functional importance: the anti-codon, which is responsible for specific mRNA codon recognition, and the 3' end, to which the tRNAs corresponding amino acid is attached (by aminoacyl-tRNA synthetases). tRNAs cope with the degeneracy of the genetic code in two manners: having more than one tRNA (with a specific anti-codon) for a particular amino acid; and 'wobble' base-pairing, i.e. permitting non-standard base-pairing at the 3rd anti-codon position. The record is from Rfam.
GGUUUUAUGGUGUAAUGGUUAGCACAUCGGAUUCUGAUUCCGGGGAUCUGGGUUCGAUUCCCAGUAAAACCU